GUCCAGAGAUGGGAAUCAAACCCACAGUGUUCUGGUUACGGGCAGAUGCCAUGUCCACUCUGCUACCCUGGA
Molecule: transfer RNA, 72 nt
Filed under: Cordylochernes scorpioides
Lineage: Eukaryota; Metazoa; Arthropoda; Arachnida; Pseudoscorpiones; Chernetidae
Description: tRNA-OTHER
Source: RNAcentral